AAGGCUUUAAGUUAAUUAAACUGAUAGCCUUCAAAGCUAUAAAUAUAGAACUAUAUCUUUAAGCCUUA
RNAcentral lists this transfer RNA (68 nucleotides) under Ascalohybris subjacens. RNAcentral describes it as "tRNA-Trp". Lineage: Eukaryota; Metazoa; Arthropoda; Insecta; Neuroptera; Myrmeleontidae. The record is from RNAcentral.